UAUCCAUGGUGUGGACAAUCUCUUUGGUUUUCCCUAAAUCUUUCCCAAGUAUCUAAAAGAUCUUCAUCUUCUUUUUGCUUAAAAGUUCUUAUCUUUUUUCUUAAGAGA
Molecule: small nucleolar RNA, 108 nt
Organism: Eutrema salsugineum
Lineage: Eukaryota; Viridiplantae; Streptophyta; Magnoliopsida; Brassicales; Brassicaceae
Rfam family: Plant small nucleolar RNA R71
About the family: R71 is a member of the C/D box family of snoRNAs containing the C (UGAUGA) and D (CUGA) box motifs. Multiple nearly identical copies of this snoRNA have been identified in Arabidopsis, and it is thought to function as a 2'-O-ribose methylation guide for 18S ribosomal RNA.
Source: Rfam